CACUAUAAAAAUCAAAUACAAACUUCAUUUAUACAACUGUUGAACUGUCAUGCAGAGUACGACAACAGAUAAGCUGUGAGUUUUAAUACAAAUAUAUGUAACUCUCAUGGUGCCUCGACCACAACCUUACAAUGGUGUUUUACAUAAAAGUACAGUCAAAAACUGUUUUAGAAAUUAAAAUUCUUGGGAAGUACUCAAGGAAACCUUUGUACAUGGGAGGCCAUGAGUCUAGGUUAUGAUAGAUAUCAUAUGUCCACAGAAUUAUCCUUGAUUGACCCAAAAGUGCCCAAAGAAAAACAAGAAGAUUACUAUCAUCUUCUUUCCAAUGGUGAGUCUUCUCCUGACAUAUAACUAUCUCCGUUGUCUCCAAGUGAAAAUUAUAUUUCAAAUAAACUCCAAGAUCAUAUAGGUAGUGCUCGUAGAUAUACUCAGCAAGUGGAUGUGCACAACCAUGUCUUAUGAUAACACGAGGUUGUAUGUCAUUAGACAUCUUGUAUAAUAGUGGCAAAACAUCCUUCCAAAGUUGGGUUCGCC
RNAcentral lists this long non-coding RNA (534 nucleotides) under Panax ginseng (ginseng). RNAcentral describes it as "long non-coding RNA (PGIN_LNC006870)". The record is from RNAcentral. Lineage: Eukaryota; Viridiplantae; Streptophyta; Magnoliopsida; Apiales; Araliaceae.